This 412-nucleotide unclassified non-coding RNA is filed under the name Hevea brasiliensis (rubber tree). The record is from RNAcentral. Lineage: Eukaryota; Viridiplantae; Streptophyta; Magnoliopsida; Malpighiales; Euphorbiaceae.
UGUUGAUUGUUCUUGAUUCUUUGUCAAUAAAUACAGGAGGCUUCCCAUUGGAGUGCCUUCAUGUUGGUACCCCAAUGUGCUGCCCAUGUUUUUGCAGUUGAUCAAGGUCUGGAGCCAUUUUUGUACAGGAAUGGGAGGAUUUGGAAAGGUGUGUAUCAACUCUUUAUCCAAGUUCUGUGAAGAUUUUGUCCCAAGUUGGCGGAUAAGAUUGGAUUGGGAAAAUUUUGUAAGAGAAUGGGGUGCUAAUGGCAGUAAUGGUGAUCAUUUGUUUAACAGCUUGUUUUAACAAGCUACGAUUUAUCUCUGUAAUUGAUCUUUGCUUUCUUUUCUUUUAUUUUUUUUUUAAAUUGUAUUUGUCAAGGAUUUUAUCAUCACAAUGAUUAUCCUGCACUAUGAGAUUGGUUUGGUAAAA